Molecule: long non-coding RNA, 1324 nt
Organism: Oenanthe melanoleuca
Lineage: Eukaryota; Metazoa; Chordata; Aves; Passeriformes; Muscicapidae
Exons: 4
Source: RefSeq, a predicted model, not a curated record
AGACUGAAGGCUUUUGUUGUAACCAGCAGAGCCUGAGCAAAGUGCUGAGGAUUUGCACCUGUGAAAUGGGGAGAACCUGGCACUGGGGAGGUAUUCCCUUUUCAGGUAGUGCCUGCUGCCCCAGAAACCCCUAGGGAGGGGUUUGGGAUGUCCUGCUUUCCAGCACUGACCAGCCUUGGCAAUCCUUCUCAGGUGACCCUUCUUACAUGUGUUACCUGGAUGCAUAAAUAGAGUUAGAAAAAAUGUUCUGCAUUUUAUACCAGAGAACAAAUACAGAGGAGAGAGAACAACUAAGUGCUCUGUGUGUCUGCCUGCUAUUUUAACAAGAGGUCCUCACGCUGAUAUGGGUGUUUGCCAAACUCAAAAUGAAUAUAAUAUCAAGAGUAUUCAGGAUAAGUCUGAAAUGAGAACAUGGGCUGUUGAAAUGCAUGGCAAGAUAAAUACUGGGAAAAAAGUGUGACAGGACUAUUCCUGGCCUGAAGAGAAGGUAAAAAUUCAAAGUAUUAAGUUAAAAAAUUACUGGGAAAGUGAUGUAGUAAUUCAUGGUCAGAGGAAAGCAGGAUUUGGCUGUAUUACAGAGAGAAGCAUCUUUAUCCUGUGUGCCAGAUGGAUCUUGGCUUCCUUGCUCAAACACUGAAUACAAGUGCACAGGGAGAAUUGGCUCACAUGGAAAGGGCAGUCCUGGCUGAGGUGUGUGGCUGGAGGGAGCUGCCUGAAAAACACCUGGAGAGCAAGAACUGGAGAAGGAUCCUCACAACAGAACCUCUUAGUGACCUCAUCUUGUCUAUUCAAAAGAUGGAGAAAAGGCAACAGAGUCACAGCACAACCAGCUUUGGAGUGACCUACAGCCACAACAGCUCCCCCAGAGCUCAAAACACUGCUGAACUCCUGUCUUGUCACCUGUCACAAGGCUUUACAAUACCAUGUUUUAUUGUAGCAAGGAAAUGCACUGAUAAAACAAAGACCUGAAUCCUCCACCUGGCACCUGAGCACUUAUUGCUGUCUACCUUCAGAUUCUGGGUUCUAGGUACUAUUUGUAAAAAUGGCAAAUAACUCCUGACAGUCUUGCAUUAAUAGGGGUUCUAUUUUAACCAGGAACUCUUAAUCUCAGAAAGCUGUAGUAAUAUGAUGAACAAGACUAAAAUCUUACAGUCCUUGGCAUCUAACAGCAGUUUGUGCCAGUUGAAUCAGAGUGAGGAACUAUGGUAGCUGGUCCUUCCUGUAAAAUGGACAUCUAAUAUUGCAGCAGCUUUUAAAUUACUUGUGAAACUUCUCUUAACACUGAAAAUUGUCAUUCUUCCUUUUGAAUAAUAUAGUGCUCUCU